Molecule: ribosomal RNA, 253 nt
Filed under: uncultured bacterium
Lineage: Bacteria
Description: partial 16S ribosomal RNA
Rfam family: Bacterial small subunit ribosomal RNA
Source: RNAcentral
GACAGAGGGGGCAAGCGUUGCUCGGAAUUACUGGGCGUAAAGGGCGCGUAGGCGGGAUGGCAAGUCGGUCGUGAAAUCCUUCGGCUCAACCGAAGAACGUCGAUCGAUACUGCUGUUCUUGAGGGUUGCAGAGGAGACUGGAAUUCCCGGUGUAGCGGUGAAAUGGGUAGAGAUCGGGAGGAACACCGGUGGCGAAGGCGGGUCUCUGGGCAAUUCCUGACGCUGAGGCGCGAAAGCGUGGGUAGCAAACAGG